AGGGAAUCUUGCCACAAUGGACGCAAGUCUGAUGGAGCAACGCCGCGUGAGUGAAGAAGGUUUUCGGACCGUAAAGCUCUGUUGUUGGUGAAGAAGGAUAGAGGUAGGUAACUGGCCUUUAUUUGACGGUAAUCAACCAGAAAGUCACGGCUAACUACGUGCCAGCAGCCGCGGUAAUACGUAGGUGGCAAGCGUUGUCCGGAUUUAUUGGGCGUAAAGCGAGCGCAGGCGGAAGAAUAAGUCUGAUGUGAAAGCCCUCGGCUUAACCGAGGAAUUGCAUCGGAAACUGUUUUUC
This 295-nucleotide ribosomal RNA is filed under the name uncultured bacterium. RNAcentral describes it as "partial 16S ribosomal RNA". It matches the Rfam family "Bacterial small subunit ribosomal RNA", at positions 356 to 641 of the family's 1533-position model. The record is from RNAcentral.